RNAcentral lists this ribosomal RNA (468 nucleotides) under uncultured bacterium. Its description in RNAcentral is "partial 16S ribosomal RNA". It matches the Rfam family "Bacterial small subunit ribosomal RNA", at positions 28 to 507 of the family's 1533-position model. The record is from RNAcentral.
GACGAACGCUGGCGGCGUGCUUAACACAUGCAAGUCGAACGGAAAGGCCCUGCUUUUGUGGGGUGCUCGAGUGGCGAACGGGUGAGUAACACGUGAGUAACCUGCCCUUGACUUUGGGAUAACUUCAGGAAACUGGGGCUAAUACCGGAUAGGAGCUCCUGCUGCAUGGUGGGGGUUGGAAAGUUUCGGCGGUUGGGGAUGGACUCGCGGCUUAUCAGCUUUUUGGUGGGGUAGUGGCUUACCAAGGCUUUGACGGGUAGCCGGCCUGAGAGGGUGACCGGCCACAUUGGGACUGAGAUACGGCCCAGACUCCUACGGGAGGCAGCAGUGGGGAAUAUUGCAAAAUGGGCGGAAGCCUGAUGCAGCAACGCCGCGUGCGGGAUGACGGCCUUCGGGUUGUAAACCGCUUUCGCCUGUGACGAAGCGUGAGUGACGGUAAUGGGUAAAGAAGCACCGGCUAACUACGUG